GUCGGGAUAGAGGGAAUGAAUUGAACUUACCAGAUGAUCGAAAUGGACGAGCUGACCGAUCUUGCUAGGUUUGUUUGGAUGGACGGGAUGGACCUAAUGGUCAGGCUGGCAGAGAUGGACGAGAUGAACGAUAUGACGAAAUGGUCAAGAUGGACCAACUGGUCGAUUUGGUUGAGUUGGCCAUGAUGGAUGAAUAGUCAAGUUGGCUACGAUAGACGAGUUGAAUGGAUGAUCAAGAUGGAUUAGAUGGACGAGAUAACAAUAAUAAAUGGAUUACUAAUCUAGCCAAGAUAUAUUAGAUAACCAGGUUAACACAACAAAAGAUCUAACAUGUGAUUUUAUUGACUGGACUAAUUAUGAUGGACCAACUGAUUGAAUUGACCAAGAUGAAUGAGCUCACCAUUAUACAUAAUCCUUUUUGUCAUUCUUAUUUAAAAAAAAUAAGACACAUUUGGAUUAAGAAACUAAUUUAAUACAAAAAUAUAUCAUAUUAUUUUUUAAUUCAAACA
RNAcentral lists this long non-coding RNA (509 nucleotides) under Vigna radiata. RNAcentral's name for it is "long non-coding RNA (VRAD_LNC005632)". The record is from RNAcentral. Lineage: Eukaryota; Viridiplantae; Streptophyta; Magnoliopsida; Fabales; Fabaceae.